UUGACCUCGGAUCAGGUAGGGAUACCCGCUGAACUUAAGCAUAUCAAUAAGCGGAGGAAGA
This 61-nucleotide ribosomal RNA is filed under the name Penicillium rolfsii. RNAcentral's name for it is "partial 28S ribosomal RNA". It matches the Rfam family "Eukaryotic large subunit ribosomal RNA", at positions 1 to 60 of the family's 3401-position model. The record is from RNAcentral. Lineage: Eukaryota; Fungi; Ascomycota; Eurotiomycetes; Eurotiales; Aspergillaceae. RNAcentral also lists the same sequence under 3 other names.